ACUGGAUGGGGUGGGGUGUGCCUGUAGUCCCAGCUACUUGGAAGGCUGAGGUCGGGGAUCACUUGAGUCUAGGACUUCAGGGUCAGCCUGGAUAACAUAGCAGAUUUCAUCUUAAA
RNAcentral lists this small RNA (116 nucleotides) under Marmota monax (woodchuck). The record is from RNAcentral. Lineage: Eukaryota; Metazoa; Chordata; Mammalia; Rodentia; Sciuridae.